Molecule: long non-coding RNA, 396 nt
Filed under: Carica papaya (papaya)
Lineage: Eukaryota; Viridiplantae; Streptophyta; Magnoliopsida; Brassicales; Caricaceae
Description: long non-coding RNA (CPAP_LNC014823)
Source: RNAcentral
UAAUUAAAUUAGAAAUAAAUCUGAGCCGUCCAUCGCGAUGUGAUCUAGGCUGUCAGUGCGUGAUCAAAUGUGGGCCAUUCGCACGUGUGCAAUCUGGAUCGUCCGUGCGCGCAUUUGAUCUGGGCCGUCCGUGCACGCGGGAACGAAUCUCAGCUGUCCGAUCGCGCGCACGCGGAUCGCCCACGGAGCCCGUUCUGCGUGGCUUUCAUGCGUUAGUAUUUAUGCCACGCGGCGUGUCCUGGUUGGCCAAAGCUACGACCGGGCUGCUGACGUGGCUGUUGAUGUGGCGCAAUUUUUCUAAAUUGCGUUUUAACCUCCGGUUUUCGAUUUUCUUUUCAAAAACACCCCUCGAAUCCAAUUUUCACCCCUUUUUUCCAAAAUCAUUUUCAAUUAAAU